AGGAAUCUGCCUGGUAGUGGGGGACGAACGUUUCGUAAAGGAACGCUAAUACCGCAUACGUCCUACGGGAGAAAGCAGGGACCUUCGGGCCUUGCGCUAUCAGAUGAGCCUAGGUCGGAUUAGCUAGUUGGUGAGGUAAUGGCUCACCAAGGCGAGAUCCGUAACUGGUCUGAGAGGAUGAUCAGUCACACUGGAACUGAGACACGGUCCAGACUCCUACGGGAGGCAACAGCG
RNAcentral lists this ribosomal RNA (234 nucleotides) under uncultured Pseudomonas sp. Its description in RNAcentral is "partial 16S ribosomal RNA". It matches the Rfam family "Bacterial small subunit ribosomal RNA", at positions 119 to 356 of the family's 1533-position model. The record is from RNAcentral. Lineage: Bacteria; Pseudomonadati; Pseudomonadota; Gammaproteobacteria; Pseudomonadales; Pseudomonadaceae.